RNAcentral lists this long non-coding RNA (239 nucleotides) under Mytilus galloprovincialis (Mediterranean mussel). Lineage: Eukaryota; Metazoa; Mollusca; Bivalvia; Mytilida; Mytilidae. The record is from RNAcentral.
UGUGGUUGUCGUUGGUUAGUUAAAAGAUGUGUUAUUGUUCAAAAGAACAAAUGAAUCAGGCACAAGUGUUUAACUUAGUCACGUUUCUCCUACGUCUGUCGUUUGUAGCUGUCUUUCAUUUUAUAUUUUUUUUAUUUAUGUUUGUUAUACUGAUUCAGUCGUUGGUUUUCAAUAUUUCAAUGUUUAACAUGUUGCUGUAUUGGACUGUUUAAAGCUUACCGUAAGUUUUUCAAAUUAUG